GAGUUUGAUCCUGCUUCAGGAUGAUCGCUAGCGGCAGGCUAAACACAUGCAAGUCGAGGGGCAGCAAGUCCAGCAAUGGAUGAUGGCGACCGGCGGAAGGGUGCGUAACGCGUGAGCAACAUGCCCUAUACAGGGAGAUACACCAGGGAAACUUGGUCUAAUAUCCCAUAGCAUUCAUUGAAGGCAUCUAUAAUGAAUUAAAGCUUCGGUGGUAUAGGAUUGGCUCGCGUGACAUUAGCCAGAUGGUGAGGUAACGGCUCACCAUAGCAAUGAUGUCUAGGGGUUUUGAGAGGAAGGCCCCCCACACUGGGACUGAGACACGGCCCAGACUCCUACGGGAGGCAGCAGUGAGGAAUAUUGGACAAUGGAUGGAAAUCUGAUCCAGCCAUGCCGCGUGCAGGAAGACGGCCUUAUGGGUUGUAAACUGCUUUUAUACGGGAGCAAUAAGGGUUACGAGUAAUCCGAUGAGAGUACUGUAUGAAUAAGGAUCGGCUAACUCCGUGCCAGCAGCCGCGGUAAUACGGAGGAUCCGAGCGUUAUCCGGAAUUAUUGGGUUUAAAGGGUGCGUAGGCGGCCAUUUAAGUCAGCGGUGAAAUUUUGCAGCUUAACUGUAACAGUGCCGUUGAUACUGUUUGGCUAGGAUUUGGUUGUAGUGUGCGGAAUGUGUGGUGUAGCGGUGAAAUGCUUAGAUAUCACACAGAACACCGAUUGCGAAGGCAGCACACUAAGUCAUUAUUGACGCUGAGGCACGAAAGUGUGGGGAUCAAACAGGAUUAGAUACCCUGGUAGUCCACACUGUAAACGAUGAUAACUCGCUGUCGGCGAUACACAGUCGGUGGCCAAGCGAAAGC
Molecule: ribosomal RNA, 851 nt
Filed under: uncultured bacterium
Lineage: Bacteria
Description: bacterial SSU rRNA
Rfam family: Bacterial small subunit ribosomal RNA
Source: RNAcentral